CCGUGUUCUUCUGUAGUGUACAGCAAAAUUGGUUGGUACAUGGUUAUUCUCAUGGGUAGCCAUGACCACAAGGUGAAUAACUGUAUGAAAAAGAAAUAUAUAAAUGGAAUUAAUAUAUAAAUCUAUUGAAUGAAAAUAUAACUAAAAAGUACUAUAAAUAUUUAGAAUCAGUAAGAAAUGUUUGCAAUAAUUAUUUCAAAUAAAAUAAUUUCAAUCUCAAUUGUAAAAAAAAGGCAAGGGAGAAUGUGUGUUCUGCAAUUAAAAAUUUAAUACUCACACUAAAUAAAAACAACCUAUGUAUGUAUAAUGUGCAUAAAACAGGACAAUAUUUAGUCAAUCAUAGAUCGGCAUGAUUGUUACAAUUUAAUAUGAAAUGUUUAGAUUAUAAAGAGAUAUCAAGGUUAUGUGAAUGCAAGAUCUUUUUUUUUUUCACAUGCAUAUGAUCUAGGUAUACUAGUCAAACCUACAUGAAGUUUACUAAAUGCACAGUGACAUUCUGAAGAAGAGCGAAAGAAAUUUAUGUCUGUUGAUGGUAGAAUGUAUUGCAGACUCAUGGAAGAAAUAUACUGCAAACUGAAAAAUUGAUGUGGACACAUUUUUAAACAUAUCAGAUAAAUGUGGAAGUCUACAUUUUAUAACUCCGACAUAGGCAAAGAAUAAAAAUGCUAUUAAAAAAUAAGAAUAAUGCAAUUACGUAUAUAAAAACGAUAACAACUAUAAAAGUAUAAUUAUAAUAAAAAAUGCUAGUACAAAUAAUUAAUUAAAUAACUCUCAUUUUUUACAUCAUGAUUGUAAAUCAAAAAUAUAAUGGUACAUGAUACCUAAUAAAUAUAUAGCAUAAUUGUGUAUAUAUUAUAUAUAUAUAUAUAUAUAUAUAUAUAUAUAUAUAUAUAUAUAUAUAUGUAUAUAAAUAAACUUAAUUAAUAAUACAUCAUAUCAAAGUAUCCAUAAUUGCCAAUUUGUGAUUGAUCUAUACGUUGAUCUAUAUUGUAAGGCAACAAUGUAUACAUCAAUAACGACAUACCGAAAUCAUGCCACAGAGAAUCGACGAACGAUCUACGAAAGCGCUCUGCCUUUCCAGAAUUUGCUUUUACGAGAGCAGACAUACAGGAAUACUUACAUCAGGCAUGUCAAGAAUCUGGGAGCAUAUGUUUUGUAUGGGAUAAACACCCAUUGAGAGAGCUCUGGGUCCAGGACUGUGAGCACCCUAUACCCAUCACCAUUAAAUCCAUCAUUCCAGUAACGCAGCAUGACACAAAGCAACACAGAGUCGUCAGUUACAUUAGUGUAUACCUUCGACUCAAUUUUGUGUGCCAGUGUGCGUGUGCAUAAAUGUUUGGUGGAUAAACCACUGUAUGUACGCAACAUAUGAGCAACAACAGCCAAUAAUAUUUUCAAAUUAUUCAAGUUAAAUAUACAGUAGCAUAAUAACAAUGGGUAUUUGCCACAGAAGAUAAAUGUCUAACCUCAAAAAUAAAUGUAGCAAGAAAUAAUCAAUAUAUCAUUAGAAUAUGUAAUAUAUAUAUGUAUAUAUAUAUAUAUAUAUAUAUCUUAGAACGAAGAGAAAGUAUGAGCAAUGUGUGUCAAGUACUUAGUCAAUUUCCAUUUGCAUCAAACACUAAUUGUGACCACAUCAUAGGGCUCCAUAAAAUGUAUUACAUUCUCUGUAUAAUGAAAAGAAUUUGGACCUUUAGAAUGUGAUUUCAUGUCACCUGAAGUCAAUCGAGUUUUGUAUCAGGCAAUAGCAAGCACACAUGAAUGGCUAAAAGGCACUAUCUACACCUUGAGAAGAUAACAUUGUUAAGAAGAAUAAGAGCGAAAAAAAGUAUCCAUAAAUACAUCACCUAUUUCGACAAUAUGUAUUAAUAUGGAAAGAAUUCACUGAUUAUCAGUGAUAUUCAUAAAUGUAUUUUUAGUAGCUGUGAGUGGAUAAUGGCGGAGAAGCUAGCACAAUGAGUGGAACAAUGAGUAUCUGUCUGCAAAACUUUGAUAGUGCAGCAUCCACACCAUUUUUAGUUAUUUCAACCAUCCAUUCUGAAUUUUGUGACGACGAAUAUUUGUAGAAUAGCAAAACAAUUGCCAUAGCUACUCGAUAAAAAACCUAAAGACAAAAAUGAAAAAAUAAAAUUUGUAAAAUAUCUUAAGGAAAAUAUUUUAAUAUUAAUAGGAUUUAAAAAUGUAUGGUUUAGUCAGUACACAAAAAUGUUCUUGGGGCGGUUUCCUGUUGGCACCAAGUCAAUCGUCAAAUUUAACAUUCACGCUACUAGAAUAUAUACAUAUCAUUUAUUUCAUCUUUAUCUACCAUCUGGAUCAAAGCCAUAAAAUCUUACUAAUGUGAGAGAAAAUACUAAGAAGGUUUUAUAUACUGUUCCCAAAACACGCAUCAUGAGAUAAAUAUGCAUAUUGACCGUAUUCAUUGGUAUGACAUUAAAAAAAAAUUAUUUUUCACCUUAA
Long non-coding RNA from Vespa mandarinia (Asian giant hornet), 2454 nucleotides. RefSeq lists it as uncharacterized. NCBI's taxonomy places the organism in Eukaryota, Metazoa, Arthropoda, Insecta, Hymenoptera, Vespidae. The record is from RefSeq and is a predicted model, not a curated record.